CAGGUGAACACACAACAGACAAUUUGGCUGGGUUUUGGGGUUAGCUUCUGAAGAAUAACAGCUACUGUGUGCAGACACCAGAAGUCAGCACACUUGCCCUGGAGGGAGCCACGCCUGUCAGUCUGCAGGAAAGCUCAGAGAAAAUACAUUAAACGGUAUCACCUUGAUCUCCUUGGUGCCAGUGAGGACUUCUUUGGCAUCAGGAGCCUAGUAAGUCUCUUAAUCCUCUGAGGCAGAUGGAUUUCCACCCACUUAACAGAUUGGACCGCGGUGGUGACAAACUUUCUCCAGAGUGAGUGCUGGCCUCCCAGCUCCAGCAGCUGCGGGGUCUGACUUCCCUGAGGAGCCAAACUCUGUAUCUUACCAAGGAAGAGCCUGAUUGGAGAGAUACACAGUACCAGCAGAUGAUGCCAUGCAUCCAUUCUCACCCAGUAUCCAGCAGCCCUUCCAGGCAGGUGAAGUCACUACCUUACACACCUGGUGAACUCGCCUUCACCCUGCUUGGGACCAGCCCUGCUCCAGCUGAGACAGACUUACCCUCAGUACUUUGGACACAGGACAUGAAGCAACUCUGCUACAAGUGUCCUGGAAAGAGCUCCCUUCCUGAGCAGAGGGUCAAGAAGGGGCCAUGUGAGUGCCUAGCUUCCCGGGCAUUGAAUGUAAGGUAGGACCAGCUGACUUCAAGGGUGCCCGACAAUGUCCGUGUUUGUCGAACAGACCAAAUUUUCUAUGAAUUAAACUAUCUCUUCACAAAAUCCUAA
This is a long non-coding RNA of Suricata suricatta (meerkat), 761 nucleotides long. RefSeq lists it as uncharacterized. Lineage: Eukaryota; Metazoa; Chordata; Mammalia; Carnivora; Herpestidae. The record is from RefSeq and is a predicted model, not a curated record. The transcript is spliced from 7 exons.